GAAGAAUUCAACUGGGCAGAGAAGUGAAUUUGGGCAGCCACAGCUCAAAACGCAUGUUCAUCACCAGAAUGCUGCUAUCCACCCCUUCUUCUCUUGUCCAAAGUGGCCUAUGGCUGGAGAAAAUGUCUGUUGAUUAGUUUCAUCAGCAUAGGAAUAUUCAGAGAGUAAUGACUGCAACUGUCAUUAAAAAUCAGCAACUGUGUCUAACCUAUAGAAGGUGGCGUAUAUUUCUAAUGAUAUUUUC
RNAcentral lists this long non-coding RNA (244 nucleotides) under Lepisosteus oculatus (spotted gar). RNAcentral describes it as "lncRNA (ENSLOCG00000021350.1)". The record is from RNAcentral. Lineage: Eukaryota; Metazoa; Chordata; Actinopteri; Semionotiformes; Lepisosteidae.